Molecule: ribosomal RNA, 253 nt
Filed under: uncultured bacterium
Lineage: Bacteria
Description: partial 16S ribosomal RNA
Rfam family: Bacterial small subunit ribosomal RNA
Source: RNAcentral
UACGGAGGGUGCAAGCGUUGUUCGGAAUUACUGGGCGUAAAGCGCACGUAGGCGGGUCUACAUGUCGAUUGUGAAAUCCCCGGGCUUAACCUGGGAAUUGCAGUCGAAACGGUAGAUCUUGAAUGCUUGAGAGGAUGGCGGAAUUCCUGGUGUAGUAGUGAAAUACGUAGAUAUCAGGAAGAACACCCGAGGCGAAGGCGGCUAUCUGGUGAUGCAUUGACGCUGAGGUGCGAAAGCGUGGGGAGCAAACAGG